CUCUUCAGAGUAAUCUACCAUAAAAUACGCUGGAUUCCACUCGUUGUUCCAACCUCUUAUAACUUGAAGAGCCUCCGCAAUAGCGUACGAUGUUUCACUUUGCAGGACAAAAGAACCAACGACUUGAUAGCUUACAUUGGUUUUUACCACAAGAAAAAACAAAGCGAGGCUGUAUUUUGUCGUUUUGUAAGUGGCAUCUAGAAGGUAAUCAAAGACUCUGCUGAAUAUUUAGCAAGCGGGCGAAAGAAGAAAGACUCGUCGGGACACCUCAGUUUCCAGUCUUCGAUUUUCUUUUGAAGAUUUUCUUGGUCAAAUUUUGAAAAUCUUUCUUUGAUGACUGCCUUGUAAAUGUGGCUGCGUAUAGUUUGUUUGGAAGGAUAAAAUCUCCGAUUGGUUUUAGCGGGUGCCUUUGUUGCUUUGUACAGGUCUUGCUCCACGUAGAUUUUAAGAUGCCUCCUAACUUCUUUAACUGAGCAAGCCCCAGCAACAACCAAUUCUUGGAUCUUGGAGACAAGCAUCUUAUCAAUUCCUUGAUGAAGACCUCCAGCCUACAUAUAAAGGAGCCGAUUAUAAAACGGUGAGUUUUGUGCUCAGAUAGGCAAGGCAACUGGAUAUGGAUCCACCUUUCUCC
Xenia sp. Carnegie-2017 is the source of this 631-nucleotide long non-coding RNA. RefSeq lists it as uncharacterized. NCBI's taxonomy places the organism in Eukaryota, Metazoa, Cnidaria, Anthozoa, Malacalcyonacea, Xeniidae. The transcript has 3 exons. The record is from RefSeq and is a predicted model, not a curated record.